UGAGGAAUAUUGGUCAAUGGGCGAGAGCCUGAACCAGCCAAGUAGCGUGCAGGAUGACGGCCCUAUGGGUUGUAAACUGCUUUUAUGUGGGGAUAAAGUGCGUGACGUGUCAUGCAUUGCAGGUACCACAUGAAUAAGGACCGGCUAAUUCCGUGCCAGCAGCCGCGGUAAUACGGAAGGUCCGGGCGUUAUCCGGAUUUAUUGGGUUUAAAGGGAGCGUAGGCUGUCUAUUAAGCGUGUUGUGAAAUAUACCGGCUCAACCGGUGGCUUGCAGCGCGAACUGGUCGACUUGAGUAUGCAGGAAGUAGGCGGAAUUCAUGGUGUAGCGGUGAAAUGCUUAGAUAUCAUGACGAACUCCGAUUGCGCAGGCAGCUUACUGUAGCAUAACUGACGCUGAGGCUCGAAAGUGCGGGUAUCAAACAGG
This 424-nucleotide ribosomal RNA is filed under the name Verrucomicrobiota bacterium. Its description in RNAcentral is "Verrucomicrobia bacterium partial 16S ribosomal RNA". It matches the Rfam family "Bacterial small subunit ribosomal RNA", at positions 355 to 776 of the family's 1533-position model. The record is from RNAcentral. Lineage: Bacteria; Pseudomonadati; Verrucomicrobiota.